This 348-nucleotide transfer-messenger RNA is filed under the name bacterium. RNAcentral describes it as "DULO01 sp012840345 Standard tmRNA". It matches the Rfam family "transfer-messenger RNA". Rfam says of the family: Bacterial tmRNA, also known as 10Sa RNA or SsrA, is named for its dual tRNA and mRNA-like properties. The record is from RNAcentral. RNAcentral also lists the same sequence under 1 other name.
GGGGGCGACCAGGUUCGACGUAGGUAGUCGGGUUUGAGCAGCGAGCAUGGGAGCCGUGCCCAUUAAAGCGGCAAAAAUACAAGAGCCAAUACCAAUUACGCUCUAGCAGCCUAAGACGGCUGCUCGGUGACCGGGGAGACUUCUCUUCUAUCCUCGAGUCGCCGUCACGCAGAAGAGAUACCUGCAGGGGGAUGUCGGGGACCCUUCAGGGAAAGCAAUUCCCGGCUGGCGGAUAGCGGAGCCCGCUCCGGGGCGUCGCGGUUCGCGAGACUAAAACCGGAGAUACGCUCGUAGAGACUGAAACCGGGUUGUCUGCGGACGAGGGUGCGAUUCCCUCCGCCUCCACCA